ACUCCUACGGGAGGCAGCAGUAGGGAAUCUUCCACAAUGGGCGCAAGCCUGAUGGAGCAACACCGCGUGAGUGAAGAAGGGUUUCGGCUCGUAAAGCUCUGUUGCUAAAGAAGAACACGUAUGAGAGUAACUGUUCAUACGUUGACGGUAUUUAACCAGAAAGUCACGGCUAACUACGUGCCAGCAGCCGCGGUAAUACGUAGGUGGCAAGCGUUAUCCGGAUUUAUUGGGCGUAAAGAGAAUGCAGGCGGUUUUCUAAGUCUGAUGUGAAAGCCUUCGGCUUAACCGGAGAAGUGCAUCGGAAACUGGAUAACUUGAGUGCAGAAGAGGGUAGUGGAACUCCAUGUGUAGCGGUGGAAUGCGUAGAUAUAUGGAAGAACACCAGUGGCGAAAGGCGGCUACCUGGUCUGCAACUGACGCUGAGACUCGAAAGCAUGGGUAGCGAACAGGAUUAGAUACCCUGGUAGGAUAGCG
RNAcentral lists this ribosomal RNA (474 nucleotides) under uncultured bacterium. RNAcentral's name for it is "bacterial SSU rRNA". It matches the Rfam family "Bacterial small subunit ribosomal RNA", at positions 335 to 801 of the family's 1533-position model. The record is from RNAcentral.